RNAcentral lists this transfer RNA (63 nucleotides) under Cherax preissii. RNAcentral describes it as "tRNA-Cys". The record is from RNAcentral. Lineage: Eukaryota; Metazoa; Arthropoda; Malacostraca; Decapoda; Parastacidae.
GCUUUAUAGUGGAAAAAAGACGUCAAAUUGCAAAUUUGAAGAUGUAUAGAUUACUAAAGCUUA